This 84-nucleotide transfer RNA is filed under the name Candidatus Iainarchaeum sp. RNAcentral's name for it is "tRNA-Leu". It matches the Rfam family "tRNA". Rfam says of the family: Transfer RNA (tRNA) molecules are approximately 80 nucleotides in length. Their secondary structure includes four short double-helical elements and three loops (D, anti-codon, and T loops). The record is from RNAcentral. Lineage: Archaea; Nanobdellati; Candidatus Iainarchaeota; Candidatus Iainarchaeia; Candidatus Iainarchaeales; Candidatus Iainarchaeaceae.
GCAGGGGUUCCCGAGCGGUCAAAGGGGCAGGACUUAAGAUCCUGUGGCUUAGUGCCUUCGACGGUUCAAAUCCGUCCCCCUGCA